Molecule: ribosomal RNA, 119 nt
Organism: Cyprinus carpio carpio
Lineage: Eukaryota; Metazoa; Chordata; Actinopteri; Cypriniformes; Cyprinidae
Source: Ensembl
GUUUACGGCCAUACCACCCUGAACACACCCGAUCUCGUCCAAUCUCGGAAGCUAAGCAGGGUCGGGCCUGGUUAGUACUUGGAUGGGAGACCGCCUGGGAAUACCAGGUGCUGUAAGCU